GAUGAAGAACGUAGCGAAAUGCGAUACUUGGUGUGAAUUGCAGAAUCCCGUGAACCAUCGAGUCUUUGAACGCAAGUUGCGCCCGAAGCCAUCAGGUUGAGGGCACGUCUGCCUGGGCGUCACAUAUCGUUGCCCAAUGCCUAUUGCAGUGCAAUAGGAAUUUCUAGGGCGAAUGAUGGCUUCCCGUGUGCGUUGUUGCCUCGCGGUUGGUUGAAAAUCGAGUCCUUGGUAGGGUGUGCCAUGGUAGAUGGUGGUCGAGUUAGAACGAUACCGAUCAUGUGCAUGCUCCCCAAAAUAUGGCCUCUAUGACCCACACGCGUCUUUUGACGCUCAUGACGAGACCUCAGGUCAGGCGGGGCUACCCGCUGAAUUUAAGCAUAUCAUAAGCGGAGGA
This 394-nucleotide unclassified non-coding RNA is filed under the name soil metagenome. Its description in RNAcentral is "partial contains 5.8S ribosomal RNA, internal transcribed spacer 2, and large subunit ribosomal RNA". The stretch from base 1 to 122 matches the Rfam family "5.8S ribosomal RNA", at positions 35 to 154 of the family's 154-position model. The record is from RNAcentral.